RNAcentral lists this ribosomal RNA (490 nucleotides) under uncultured bacterium. RNAcentral describes it as "partial 16S ribosomal RNA". It matches the Rfam family "Bacterial small subunit ribosomal RNA", at positions 30 to 507 of the family's 1533-position model. The record is from RNAcentral.
AUUGAACGCUGGCGGCAGGCCUAACACAUGCAAGUCGAACGGUAACAGGAAGCAGCUUGCUGCUUUGCUGACGAGUGGCGGACGGGUGAGUAAUGUCUGGGAAACUGCCCGAUGGAGGGGGAUAACUACUGGAAACGGUAGCUAAUACCGCAUAACGUCGCAAGACCAAAGAUGGGGACCUUAGGGCCUCUUGCCAUCGGCUGUGCCCAGGUGGGAUUAGCUAGUAGGUGGGGUAAAGGCUCACCAAGGCGACGAUCCCUAGCUGGUCUGAGAGGAUGACCAGCCACACUGGAACUGAGACACGGCCCAGACUCCUACGGGAGGCAGCAGUGGGGAAUAUUGCACAAAGGGCGAAAGCCUGAUGCAGCCAUGCCGCGUGUAUGAAGAAGGCCUUCGGGUUGUAAAGUACUUUCGGCGGGGAGGAAAAGAGUAAAGUUAAUACCACGGCUCAUUGACGUUACCCGCAGAAGAAGCACCGGCUAACUCCGUG